Molecule: ribosomal RNA, 461 nt
Filed under: bacterium MB2001
Lineage: Bacteria
Description: bacterial SSU rRNA
Rfam family: Bacterial small subunit ribosomal RNA
Source: RNAcentral
GACGAACGCUGGCGGCGUGCCUAACACAUGCAAGUCGAGCGGGGACAUUGCGACGGACAUGAAGAUUUCGGUUGGAUUGAAAGAUGUAAUGUUCUAGCGGCGGACGGGUGAGUAACGCGUGAGCAACCUGUCCCUUACAGGGGGAUAACACAGCGAAAGUUGUACUAAUACCGCAUAAGACCACAGGAUGACAUCGUCCAGGGGUCAAAGGAGUAAUCCGGUAAGGGGUGGGCUCGCGUCCGAUUAGAUAGUUGGUGAGGUAACGGCCCACCAAGUCGACGAUCGGUAGCCGACCUGAGAGGGUGAUCGGCCACAUUGGGACUGAGACACGGCCCAAACUCCUACGGGAGGCAGCAGUGGGGAAUAUUGGGCAAUGGGGGAAACCCUGACCCAGCAACGCCGCGUGAGGGAAGAAGGUUUUCGGAUCGUAAACCUCUGUCCUUGGUGAAGAGGAAGAGACG